GCGCUCGUAGCUCAGUAGGAUAGAGCGCCGGUUUCCUAAACCGGAGGUCGCAGGUUCGAAUCCCGCCGGGCGUA
This 74-nucleotide transfer RNA is filed under the name Planctomycetes bacterium GWF2_42_9. Its description in RNAcentral is "tRNA-Arg". It matches the Rfam family "tRNA". From Rfam's summary of the family: Transfer RNA (tRNA) molecules are approximately 80 nucleotides in length. Their secondary structure includes four short double-helical elements and three loops (D, anti-codon, and T loops). Lineage: Bacteria; Pseudomonadati; Planctomycetota. The record is from RNAcentral.